Molecule: non-coding RNA, 71 nt
Organism: Debaryomyces hansenii
Lineage: Eukaryota; Fungi; Ascomycota; Pichiomycetes; Serinales; Debaryomycetaceae
Source: Rfam
GUUUAUGUAGCUUAAAGGCAAAGCAGUGUACUGUUAAUACAUCGAUUCUGGUUCGACUCCAGACUUAAACG